RNAcentral lists this long non-coding RNA (252 nucleotides) under Lathyrus oleraceus (garden pea). RNAcentral describes it as "Pisum sativum (pea) long non-coding RNA (PSAT_LNC009914)". Lineage: Eukaryota; Viridiplantae; Streptophyta; Magnoliopsida; Fabales; Fabaceae. The record is from RNAcentral.
GAUAAAUUUUUGUUGAAUUAUGUAGACGAUAAACUACUAUCUAAAGGGAGGUGAAUAGAUCACAAAUGAAAUUUUCUUGUUUAAAAUUCUGUUUUGAAAAUGUUUAACUAUGGCGAGCGGAAACAAUCCCGAAUCGACUAUCGUCGAUUCUGAACCGUUAUCAAAAGGGUCAGAUAUGCGUUAAAUCGAAUAUAAUGUAUUCAAUUAAUGAGAAAGUGAAUCAAUAUAUUCAACAUUGACAUUUGAAUAAAA